Molecule: ribosomal RNA, 231 nt
Filed under: uncultured Staphylococcus sp.
Lineage: Bacteria; Bacillati; Bacillota; Bacilli; Caryophanales; Staphylococcaceae
Description: partial 16S ribosomal RNA
Rfam family: Bacterial small subunit ribosomal RNA
Source: RNAcentral
AGUAACACGUGGAUAACCUGCCUAUAAGACUGGGAUAACUUCGGGAAACCGGAGCUAAUACCGGAUAAUAUUUUGAACCGCAUGGUUCAAAAGUGAAAGACGGUCUUGCUGUCACUUAUAGAUGGAUCCGCGCUGCAUUAGCUAGUUGGUAAGGUAACGGCUUACCAAGGCAACGAUGCACAGCCGACCUGAGAGGGUGAUCGGCCACACUGGAACUGAGACACGGUCCAG